UUUAAAGAGAGUUUGAUCCUGGCUCAGGACGAACGCUGGCGGCGUGCCUAAUACAUGCAAGUCGAACGAACGGAGGAAGAGCUUGCUCUUCCAAAGUUAGUGGCGGACGGGUGAGUAACACGUGGGCAACCUGCCUGUAAGUUGGGGAUAACUCCGGGAAACCGGGGCUAAUACCGAAUGAUAAAGUGUGGCGCAUGCCACGCUUUUGAAAGAUGGUUUCGGCUAUCGCUUACAGAUGGGCCCGCGGUGCAUUAGCUAGUUGGUAGGGUAAUGGCCUACCAAGGCAACGAUGCAUAGCCGACCUGAGAGGGUGAUCGGCCACACUGGGACUGAGACACGGCCCAGACUCCUACGGGAGGCAGCAGUAGGGAAUCUUCCGCAAUGGACGAAAGUCUGACGGAGCAACGCCGCGUGUAUGAAGAAGGUUUUCGGAUCGUAAAGUACUGUUGUUAGAGAAGAACAAGGAUAAGAGUAACUGCUUGUCCCUUGACGGUAUCUAACCAGAAAGCCACGGCUAACUACGUGCCAGCAGCCGCGGUAAUACGUAGGUGGCAAGCGUUGUCCGGAUUUAUUGGGCGUAAAGCGCGCGCAGGCGGUCUUUUAAGUCUGAUGUGAAAGCCCCCGGCUUAACCGGGGAGGGUCAUUGGAAACUGGAAGACUGGAGUGCAGAAGAGGAGAGUGGAAUUCCACGUGUAGCGGUGAAAUGCGUAGAUAUGUGGAGGAACACCAGUGGCGAAGGCGACUCUCUGGUCUGUAACUGACGCUGAG
This 768-nucleotide ribosomal RNA is filed under the name Listeria monocytogenes. Its description in RNAcentral is "bacterial SSU rRNA". It matches the Rfam family "Bacterial small subunit ribosomal RNA", at positions 1 to 750 of the family's 1533-position model. Lineage: Bacteria; Bacillati; Bacillota; Bacilli; Caryophanales; Listeriaceae. The record is from RNAcentral.